GUUGUAUGGUUAAGUGACUAAGCGUACACGGUGGAUGCCUUGGCAGUCAGAGGCGAUGAAAGGCGUAAUAACUUGCGAUAAGCCCAGAUUAGGUAGUAAUAACCUUUUGAGUC
This 113-nucleotide ribosomal RNA is filed under the name Vibrio gigantis. RNAcentral describes it as "partial 23S ribosomal RNA". It matches the Rfam family "Bacterial large subunit ribosomal RNA", at positions 1 to 105 of the family's 2925-position model. Lineage: Bacteria; Pseudomonadati; Pseudomonadota; Gammaproteobacteria; Vibrionales; Vibrionaceae. RNAcentral also lists the same sequence under 1 other name. The record is from RNAcentral.